AUGUCUUUUAAAUGCUUUGCAUUUUGGUUACUGCUGCCAUGCAGACUGCAGGCGCACAUUCCAGGGAGUUCAUAUAUGGUUUGGAAAACUUUGUCUACAAGGACAUCAAGCCUGAUAAGACAAAAAGGAUACAUUUUUGGAAAAAUUGGCAAUUCAAGUAAUAAAAAAUGUACAAGUAAAAGACAUUCAUAUUAAAUAUGAAGAUGAUGUUUUUUAGAUUGCAGCCUUGAUUGCACUUUUGUUAAAAGAACUGGUAGUAUUCACAGCCUUAAAAGCUCAAGUGGUGUGCGUUUAGUUGAAUGUUCCAACAGAGCUCAGUUUCUUCUACUUGUGGCUGUUGAAGCAGGCAGACCCCUGGUAUGAUGCUCUCUGUUGCUGAAAGAAACUCCUUUGUUGCUAUCUCAGGGUACUGAACCAUGGCUGCAAUUAGAAACCACCUGGGGAAUGUUCCUUCACAAAAUGCUGAAACCUGGAACCCUGGAGAUGGGAUUUAAGUGCUAUGUACUGGGGCUUUGGCAUUUGUGGGGUUUUUUGUUUCCCUUUCAAAGCCUAGUGAUGAUUCUUAUGCACAGCAAAGAUUAAACAACACUAAGCUGUGGUAUUCAUUGUAGUAGAUCUGUCCUUCAGUUUCAAUUUGCAAAUUCAAGAGCUCGAAUGUGUGCAUUCCUGUGUGGCUUGUGACAAAAUGUUAACAUUUUCCCCAUGCUUACUCUUUACAUUCACUAAUCAAACCUGUUUUCUCUACUACCGAAUUUAAUAUUUUCUUUUACUUCUCUUUGGGAUUGUUUCAUUUCUUAUUACACACAAAGAUUUACAACAUAUUAUUAAUUUGCUAUCAAUUGAAAAUACCUGACUUUCUGAGUGGGAACAUUAAUUGAAGUUUACUUUUUCAGGGAAUGAGAACAUAAAGUCUAAAUUACUUCUCUCCUUUAUUUUCUUUAUUCCUCUGUUGUUUGCUUUUUGGUUCCUCAUCUGAAAAGUAGGCAUUGAGAAGGAGCAGUAUAUAAACAAGUUAGGACUUGAGGAAAGAACUAUUCUGUUUUUAUCUGUAUCUCUUCUUCCCUGCCAUGUCCUUUCAUUAGUAAGGCAGCAAUAUCUAUGAAUUCUAAAAUAAUGAUUGCUUUAAGCUAGUAUGUUUUGGAUGUGGAAGCAUCUUCCAGUUUUGUAUCUUUUCAUUCUAUUAACCAGAAGUUGUAAUGGUUCUUAAA
RNAcentral lists this long non-coding RNA (1208 nucleotides) under Castor canadensis (American beaver). RNAcentral describes it as "lncRNA (ENSCCNG00000012398.1)". The record is from RNAcentral. Lineage: Eukaryota; Metazoa; Chordata; Mammalia; Rodentia; Castoridae.